RNAcentral lists this ribosomal RNA (260 nucleotides) under uncultured bacterium. RNAcentral describes it as "partial 16S ribosomal RNA". It matches the Rfam family "Bacterial small subunit ribosomal RNA", at positions 57 to 305 of the family's 1533-position model. The record is from RNAcentral.
GCAAGUCGAGCGAACAGACGAGGAGCUUGCUCCUCUGACGUUAGCGGCGGACGGGUGAGUAACACGUGGAUAACCUACCUAUAAGACUGGGAUAACUUCGGGAAACCGGAGCUAAUACCGUCUUUCACUAUUGAACUGCAUGGUUCAAUAGUGAAAGACGGUUUUGCUGUCACUUAUAGAUGGAUCCGCGCCGCAUUAGCUAGUUGGUAAGGUAACGGCUUACCAAGGCAACGAUGCGUAGCCGACCUGAGAGGGUGAUC